UGCGUGUCACUGUGCUUGCAGUGUGGGACAUGUGUGGGUGCUCUGUCUCAGAGCUGUGUGUCCAUCUGUGCAUGGCCAUGGCAAUGAUCUUCUUCCUCAAGUGCUGGGGAUUGUGUUUUAAUGGAUGUUUCAUGAGUGCAGGGGCAGACGGUGCUGUGGUCCCAAGGUCGUGCAAGGAGCCUGCAGUGCAGUCAGCAGCUCAACCCGUAUCUGGCCGCAGCUGAAACAUCCAGGAGAGUUUAUGAAGGCUCCAUAUUGCCGCUGCACCAAGACCGCCAUGACAGGACAGCCACUGAAAAGGCCAUUGAUGCUCUCUGUGCUGCCCCACACCUUGCCUCUUCUUCCUAUGCACCUGGUAGAUGUAGCUGUAGUGCAACGAAGUGUGAGUUUAAUCUGGUUUGGUUUUCUUUUUUUGGAAGGCUAGUUUGCCAUUGAAUCCAGUGUAGUCAAGACAGAAAGAGAAGGUGCUUGAGAGUACAGUUCAGAGCUGCACUGCAAGUGCUCCACUUUGCCUUGACUAUCAGAAAUGCUUA
Molecule: non-coding RNA, 533 nt
Organism: Coturnix japonica (Japanese quail)
Lineage: Eukaryota; Metazoa; Chordata; Aves; Galliformes; Phasianidae
Source: RefSeq, a predicted model, not a curated record